CCUACGGGAGGCAGCAGUGGGGAAUUUUGGACAAUGGGCGCAAGCCUGAUCCAGCCAUGCCGCGUGCGGGAAGAAGGCCUUCGGGUUGUAAACCGCUUUUGUCAGGGAAGAAAUCCUUUGAACUAAUACUUCGGAGGGAUGACGGUACCUGAAGAAUAAGCACCGGCUAACUACGUGCCAGCAGCCGCGGUAAUACGUAGGGUGCGAGCGUUAAUCGGAAUUACUGGGCGUAAAGCGUGCGCAGGCGGUUGUGCAAGACAGGUGUGAAAUCCCCGGGCUUAACCUGGGAACUGCACUUGUGACUGCACAGCUGGAGUGCGGCAGAGGGGGAUGGAAUUCCGCGUGUAGCAGUGAAAUGCGUAGAUAUGCGGAGGAACACCGAUGGCGAAGGCAAUCCCCUGGGCCUGCACUGACGCUCAUGCACGAAAGCGUGGGGAGCAAACAGGAUUAGAUACCCUGGUAGUCCACGCCCUAAACGAUGUCAACUGGUUGUUGGACGGCUUGCUGUUCAGUAACGAAGCUAACGCGUGAAGUUGACCGCCUGGGGAGUACGGCCGCAAGGUUGAAACGUCAAAUGAAUUGACGG
This 586-nucleotide ribosomal RNA is filed under the name uncultured bacterium. RNAcentral describes it as "bacterial SSU rRNA". It matches the Rfam family "Bacterial small subunit ribosomal RNA", at positions 338 to 916 of the family's 1533-position model. The record is from RNAcentral.